Gossypium raimondii (Peruvian cotton) is the source of this 128-nucleotide non-coding RNA. The record is from Rfam. NCBI's taxonomy places the organism in Eukaryota, Viridiplantae, Streptophyta, Magnoliopsida, Malvales, Malvaceae.
UAUUAAAAAUUUUAUCCAUUUCUAUUGUUAAAAAUUGGCAUGGUUGAUGGAAUAACCACAUAGUGUCACAUGUACCUCAUGCUGAGGUACAAGGAUAAGUUUUUAACAGUAAAAAUGAAUGAGUAAAG